This is a long non-coding RNA of Symphalangus syndactylus (siamang), 2374 nucleotides long. RefSeq lists it as uncharacterized. The record is from RefSeq and is a predicted model, not a curated record. NCBI's taxonomy places the organism in Eukaryota, Metazoa, Chordata, Mammalia, Primates, Hylobatidae.
CACGCAGAGGCCAGCCUGUGGGUUACAGAGAUGCACAGGGAGGAACAAAGCCCAGAACAAUCACAGAGAAUCAAGGCACUCUGGUUAUACCUUGCCUUCCCUAAGCUGCUGAUGAAUUAGCAGAUCAGAUUCCAGAAAUAAUUCAGCCUGCCACUGUUUCUUUUUCACUCACGUGUCCCCUGGCCGGGCAGCCUUGCUGUAGUGCCUCUGUUUCAUAUUCCGUUUGUAAGAUGGGCAGCUCCAAGUCUAUGCUCACUCAGCUGCUCAUCAAGAAUAACAAGGUACAUGACAAAGGAGGUAAGGAUGUCCUCGUCAAAUGUCCUAUGCUGUCACCUGCCAGAAAGCCCUCGGCAGUCAGUGUCCGAGAUGGCUCCCCACGCAGGAAUCUCUCUGAAGUGCUCUGUGAUCUCCACAACUAAAACAUAAUCUCUGGCCCCAGAGAGCUCUGGGGCUCUGUUCCCUUGUUCAGCCCGUGCUCCUGGUCAUCUUUAGCCCCGGGACUGAGGCUUGGACAGGCUCAGGUGCAGCUGUCUGUGAAAAUCAGAUUGAUGCAUCUGAUUACAUGGCCUGUUAACAUCUGCAAAAAAUAAGAUAAAAUAAGAAUUAUUUACCUGUCACAGCUUUGAGACACCAUCACAAACUGGAGCUGACACCUCUUCUAUUCACCUUGGAGAGGUGCAGACUGAAGAGUGGACCGUGACACACUUAAUAGAUUGCUGGGCAUUUACAGAGCUGCUUGUUACCCAGCUCAAGAGCCGUGUCCAACUGCUACAGCGUUCAUCAAAGACAAGAAGCCACAAGGAGCAGUCAGUACUGCAAUUCAUUAAGGCAACUUGACCUCUGGGGAGAGGAGAAGAAAAAGGAACUAGCAGCAUUGAUUGCUUAUGUUUCCUGAAGUGUGGUGUCAUGGCAUAAAAUGACAUUGAAUCAUAGGAUCAACAGAGAAGAAAUGAGUCAACAAUGGUGCAGGUGAUCUGUGCAGUGCUGUGCAGGGGAGGGGUCAAAGCUGUGAUGCUGGCAUGCAACUAACUCACCACUGUGAGCCAAUCACAAAAGCAGAAACUUGGCCAAGCUGGUUGUCUUUCUAGAAAGAAAGGGACCAGCUUGACGAAGCUUCUGCUUUUGUGACUGUCUCCUAAUGGUGAGUAUUGAGAAUUUCUUCUUACAGUCACAGCAGUGAAAAGGAACUUUUCAUCCAAAAAUUACAAAACAGAUUUAUGUUGAAAAUAAUGAGAACUUUGUUGGUGCCCUGGAAAAAUAUUUGAGAGAAGCGGAGAGUGAUUCCUUUUAUUGGGCCAGAGUGUAAAAGUCAGCUCAUUGGUCUCAAGGGAAGAAAAAGUUCUUUUCUUCAGUUGGCAAUUUGUUUUCAACAAAAGAUUUGGAAUGCCUUUUUCUUUUCUUUUUAAUAAAGGAAGGAUAUAGUUAGUUGACCAGGAAUUAGCUAGGGAUUAAGAAUCGGUUGGCUUGGCAAUAUUUCUACCUGCUUGCUGUGCAUAUACUUGAAUUAACAAUGGUCAAUAAUCAAAAGGGCAUUGAAAUGUGAGUUGGGCUGUGGAGGGACCACCCCAAAUCUACUUCUCUGUAGUAUUGAACCCAGGGGCCUCACUUUGCCUCGCUGCAGUUCUGUGGUUUUUAAUUUAUCAUUUCCAGGAUCUGUGGGUUUCUUCAAGCUCCCAGACUUGCUCAGGCACAUUGCAAAUAGCCAUGAUUUGAGACGAUUUUCUUUAAUGCUGAAGCAGAUGAAGAACCCAGGUUCUUUUUAGUGGCGAGGCUUGUUUAUCAGCAGCUAUACAGCUAUGGGCACAGACACAGGUAAACAGCACAGACGCUGGGAGAGGGAUGGCAUCCAGACUCAGAAGAAGGCCAGCAUCUGACCGUGACCAUCACGCCCACGUGACAAAAGAUGUCACCAGAGUGAACAGUUCUGACCACAGUGGCCUUUCACCUGCUUCAUUAAACUUAACUCACACCAGCUCAGAGGACAAUUCGAUUAAUUCUGUAUCUCAGCAGAAACCAGAGCACCUCAGAAGAUCAAGGCUUCCAAAUUCUCCUGGGGGAACAGACGUCAGCCACUCAGCACGAAGGCAACUUCCUUCUCUGUAUGUCAGAGGAAGACAUAAUUGUGCCAUUUCCUUCUUGAAGAAGUUUACAAACAUUUGCAAGUUGUCAAAAAUAAUUAGUCUAAAAUUGUUUCAUAAACCAUGGAAUGAAACAGUACGUGCCUUGUUGAGAUCAAAGGGCUUCUGUUACCUUCUUGUAAACCCAAAUGAAAUUCUUUUGAAAGUAAACUCUUGGAAUUAGCGGUGGUUUUUGUGGCACAUCUAUGGCAGGGGGAGGGGAGCAGAAUGAUUCAGAUGGCAGAGUCCAAUGGAGA